RNAcentral lists this small nuclear RNA (79 nucleotides) under Meriones unguiculatus (Mongolian gerbil). The record is from RNAcentral. Lineage: Eukaryota; Metazoa; Chordata; Mammalia; Rodentia; Muridae.
GUGCGCACUUCGGCAGCACAUGGACUAAAACUGGAACGAAACAGAGAAGAUUAACAUGGGGCCUGCGCAAGGAUGAAAU